This 224-nucleotide long non-coding RNA is filed under the name Citrus sinensis (sweet orange). Its description in RNAcentral is "long non-coding RNA (CSIN_LNC000316)". The record is from RNAcentral. Lineage: Eukaryota; Viridiplantae; Streptophyta; Magnoliopsida; Sapindales; Rutaceae.
CAAGACAGUAAAAAAACUAUGGAAAAACAAUUUUAUAUAUGUGUGUGUGUGUGUAUUUAUAUCUCUAAUUUAUGGAUGAGUCAAUGCUCACUAGUACUAAUAAUUAACAAACAGAAAAAACAGUCACAUUUCAGUUGACAAUUGCACCUCAUUAUAAACAUAAACACUAACCGCGACGUGCAUGCAACAACUAUUCCCCCGGGCUCGAUCGUCGUAUAUAUUCA